GAUCAUGGCUCAGGUUGAACGCUGGCGGAAUGCUUUACACAUGCAAGUCGAACGGUAGAGGGGGCAACCCCUUGAGAGUGGCGAACGGGUGAGUAAUAUAUCGGAACGUGCCCAGUCGUGGGGGAUAACGUAGCGAAAGUUACGCUAAUACCGCAUACGAUCUACGGAUGAAAGCGGGGGAUCGCAAGACCUCGCGCGAUUGGAGCGGCCGAUAUCAGAUUAGGUAGUUGGUGAGGUAAAGGCUCACCAAGCCAACGAUCUGUAGCUGGUCUGAGAGGACGACCAGCCACACUGGAACUGAGACACGGUCCAGACUCCUACGGGAGGCAGCAGUGGGGAAUUUUGGACAAUGGGCGCAAGUCUGAACCAGCCAUGCCGCGUGAAGGAUGACGGCCCUCUGGGUUGUAAACUUCUUUUAUCUGGGACGAAAAAAGGUCAUUCUUGAUCACUUGACGGUACCAGAGGAAUAAGCACCGGCUAACUACGUG
RNAcentral lists this ribosomal RNA (488 nucleotides) under uncultured bacterium. RNAcentral describes it as "bacterial SSU rRNA". It matches the Rfam family "Bacterial small subunit ribosomal RNA", at positions 15 to 507 of the family's 1533-position model. The record is from RNAcentral.